RNAcentral lists this microRNA precursor (52 nucleotides) under Capra hircus (goat). Its description in RNAcentral is "mir-1302 microRNA precursor family". It matches the Rfam family "mir-1302 microRNA precursor family". RNAcentral also lists the same sequence under 1 other name. Lineage: Eukaryota; Metazoa; Chordata; Mammalia; Artiodactyla; Bovidae. The record is from Rfam by way of RNAcentral.
AUUUUAGUAUAAAUCUGUCCCAUGUAAUAUUUGGGACAUACUUGUACUAAAA